UGGGGAAUAUUGGACAAUGGGCGCAAGCCUAAUCCAGCCAUGCCGCGUGUGUGAAGAAGGCCUUCGGGUUGUAAAGCACUUUCAGCGGGGAGGAAGGGGUUGUUGUUAAUAGCAGCAAUCUUUGACGUUACCCGCAGAAGAAGCACCGGCUAACUCCGUGCCAGCAGCCGCGGUAAUACGGAGGGUGCAAGCGUUAAUCGGAAUUACUGGGCGUAAAGCGCACGUAGGCGGUAUGUUAAGUUGGAUGUGAAAGCCCCGGCUGCAACCUGGGAAUUGCAUUCAAAACUGGCAUGCUAGAGUAUGUGAGAGGGGGUGGAGAAUCAAUCAGUGUAGCGGUGAAAUGCGUAGAGAUUUGGAGGAAUACCAGUGGCGAAGGCGGCCCCGCCGCACAAUACUGACGCUCAGGUGCGAAAGCGUGGGGAGCAAACAGGAUUAGAUACCC
RNAcentral lists this ribosomal RNA (442 nucleotides) under uncultured bacterium. RNAcentral's name for it is "bacterial SSU rRNA". It matches the Rfam family "Bacterial small subunit ribosomal RNA", at positions 355 to 787 of the family's 1533-position model. The record is from RNAcentral.